Molecule: long non-coding RNA, 270 nt
Filed under: Oryzias javanicus (javanese ricefish)
Lineage: Eukaryota; Metazoa; Chordata; Actinopteri; Beloniformes; Adrianichthyidae
Description: lncRNA (ENSOJAG00000021929.1)
Source: RNAcentral
CAUCCAGCAGGGAUCAUUGUGCUGAAGGAUUAUCAAGUACAGAGGAUUGCGGCUGACUGCCUUCAUUCGUUACUUCCACGAGAUGACUGAGGAGAGACCUGCGUGCAUCUGCAAGAUUACCACCUGAGCAGCACCUGGGAACGUUCCCUCAUAAAUUUUAACAGAGGUUCCUGUUUACUUUGAACAAAGUGGUACCUGGCAUGUCCUGCAGCACAGUCCGUUUGACUGGCAAACACACAAACCUCUGACUGGGAGCCAGCAGUAGACCAG